RNAcentral lists this ribosomal RNA (273 nucleotides) under uncultured bacterium. RNAcentral describes it as "partial 16S ribosomal RNA". It matches the Rfam family "Bacterial small subunit ribosomal RNA", at positions 524 to 796 of the family's 1533-position model. The record is from RNAcentral.
GACGGAGGAGGCAAGCGUUAUCCGGAAUGAUUGGGCGUAAAGAGUCCGUAGGUGGAACUUCAAGUCUAUUGUUAAAGAGCAAAGCUUAACUUUGUAAAGGCAGUGGAAACUGAAGAACUAGAGAGGGGCAGGGGCAAAGGGAAUUCCUGGUGUAGCGGUGAAAUGCGUAGAGAUCAGGAAGAACACCGGUGGCGAAAGCGCUUUGCUGGGCCCAUUCUGACACUGAGGGACGAAAGCUAGGGGAGCGAAUGGGAUUAGAUACCCCAGUAGUCC